CUUGGUCUGGAACUUCUAGUGUGUAAAACUGUGAGACAACACAUUUCUGUUGUUUAAGACACACAAUCUGUGGUACUUUGAUACAGCAGCCCCGACAAACUAAUACAUGGGGUGUCUCAUUGCAGUUUUCAUCAGUAACACCCAUUAUGAACUGAAAACGUCUGCUACUUUUAAGAUCCAACUUGAAUGCUUCCUGAUUAAAUAUAUACAGGAGUGAUUUCAGAGGAAUUUAAGUUUUGGAUCAUUCUUUUGAGAAAGAAAGAAAAGUACCCUUUUAAAAGAGGUUCAACAAAGCCAUUAAGACUAACCGUUUUUGCUGGAGCUGCAAGAUUUUCCAUUUCUUCAUGAGUCACCCAAACGUUGCCUGAAGGCUAGUGAGGAGGCCCAGAGGGAAGCAGAGGAAUCCAUGGGAGGCAAGCAGUGGUAAAGAAGAAAGGCAGCACCUCUACUUUCUUCUGCCACUGCCACUCCUGAGACAACAUGACCAAUCUCUCCCCUUCCUCCUCCUCAGCGUACUUUCAACAUAAAGACGACGAGGAUAAAGGCAUUUAUGAUGAACUACUUCCACAUAAUGAAUAAUUGAACAAAGGAGAGAAUUGUGAGAGUGAGAAAAAGUGAGACAAAGAAGAAAAACUAUAAAUCAGCAAAAUACAGUGCCAAGAGCUCUGGACCACAAAUCAGAAGACCUGAGCCCUAAUUCCUUUCCAGUCAUUGGAUUUGUUCGUCGCUUGCCAAAACAGCAGCGAACUCUCUGUCAAACUGCAACUCAUUUUAUCGGAGCAAAAACUGAACAAAGAACUGCUAUCAUUUCUGAGGUCAGAGGCAGUGCAGCUUGUGUUACAACUCAAAAGAGUAAUACUCUGAAAAAAGAAAAAAAAAGAUGGCGCUGAAAAUAAACAUGUUCAGCAGCCAUUGUGAUUCAACUUACCCAGAUGUGCUUUUCAUGAGAUGGAGAAGGACGGAUGGAAAAGAAAAGCACACAAAUGUUAAUGGAUACAGUUCAAUCCAAAGAAAACCAUGGAAUAAAACAAGAGCAUUAUUUAAGAUGUGAGAAAGCUCAGGUAUGAGAAAGACAUGGUG
Molecule: long non-coding RNA, 1080 nt
Filed under: Pan troglodytes (chimpanzee)
Lineage: Eukaryota; Metazoa; Chordata; Mammalia; Primates; Hominidae
Description: lincRNA
Source: RNAcentral